CCUACGGGAGGCAGCAGUAGGGAAUCUUUCACAAUGGGCGAAAGCCUGAUGGAGCAACGCCGCGUGCAGGAUGAAGUCUUUCGGGUUGUAAACUGCUUUUAUCAGCGAGAAAUAUGAUGGUAACUUAUGAAUAAGGAUCGGCUAACUACGUGCCAGCAGCCGCGGUCAUACGUAGGCUCCGAGCAUUAUCCGGAGGUACUGGGUGUAAAGAGUUGCGUAGGUGGCAUAAUAAGUAGCUAGUGAAAUCUGGUGGCUCAACCAUUCAGACUAUUAGCUAAACUGUUAAGCUCGAGAGCGUUAGGGGUAACUGGAAUUUCUAGUGUAGGAGUGAAAUCCGUAGAUAUUAGAAGGAACACCAAUAGCGUAGGCAGGUUACUGGGACGGUUCUGACACUAAGGCACGAAAGCGUAGGGAGCAAACGGGAUUAGAUACCCUAGUAGUC
This 442-nucleotide ribosomal RNA is filed under the name uncultured bacterium. Its description in RNAcentral is "partial 16S ribosomal RNA". It matches the Rfam family "Bacterial small subunit ribosomal RNA", at positions 338 to 795 of the family's 1533-position model. The record is from RNAcentral.